RNAcentral lists this ribosomal RNA (301 nucleotides) under uncultured bacterium. Its description in RNAcentral is "partial 16S ribosomal RNA". It matches the Rfam family "Bacterial small subunit ribosomal RNA", at positions 509 to 807 of the family's 1533-position model. The record is from RNAcentral.
CAGCAGCCGCGGUAAAACGAAGGGUGCAAGCGUUACUCGGAAUUACUGGGCGUAAAGCGUGCGUAGGUGAUGGUUUAAGUCCGUUGUGAAAGCCCUGGGCUCAACCUGGGAAUUGCAGUGGAUACUGGGUCACUAGAGUGUGGUAGAGGAUAGUGGAAUUUCCGGUGUAGCAGUGAAAUGCGUAGAGAUCGGAAGGAACAUCUGUGGCGAAGGCGACUAUCUGGGCCAACACUGACACUGAGGCACGAAAGCGUGGGGAGCAAACAGGAUUAGAUACCCGGGUAGUCCCUGUCUCUUAUAC